RNAcentral lists this ribosomal RNA (488 nucleotides) under uncultured bacterium. RNAcentral's name for it is "partial 16S ribosomal RNA". It matches the Rfam family "Bacterial small subunit ribosomal RNA", at positions 28 to 523 of the family's 1533-position model. The record is from RNAcentral.
GACGAACGCUGGCGGCGUGCUUCACACAUGCAAGUCGAACGGGGAUGCAGCAAAAGCUUGCUUUUAUUGCAUCCUAGUGGCGGACGGGUGAGUAACACGUGAGCAGCCUGCCCGACAUACUGGGAUAACAGCGGGAAACCGUUGCUAAUACCGGAUACUCCAUUUCUGGCGCAUGUCAGAGAUGGGAAAGGGUUUACUGAUGUCGGAUGGGCUCGCGUCCCAUUAGCUGGUUGGUGAGGUAACGGCUCACCAAGGCUGCGAUGGGUAGCUGGUCUGAGAGGACGAUCAGCCACACUGGAACUGAGACACGGUCCAGACUCCUACGGGAGGCAGCAGUGGGGAAUAUUGCACAAUGGGCGAAAGCCUGAUGCAGCGACGCCGCGUGGAGGAUGAAGGCCUUCGGGUCGUAAACUCCUGUCUGGGGGGAUGAACACUGACAGUACCCCCGGAGGAAGCCCCGGCUAACUACGUGCCAGCAGCCGCCGUAA